AUGGAGAUGAAACCCAAAAGAUUUUCGUUGGGGCGUAACCCUCUCAGCGACGCGCCACAUCGGAACCCGGGUGUGGUGGAAAAUGGGCAAGGGCCGGGCCGUCACCCCCCAAGUGGCGCGCCGUAUCUUGAUCCGGAUACGGUGGCAAGUGAGCGAGGAUCGGGUCGUCGCAUCCUUAGUGGCGCGCUACAUCGGCGCCCGGAUGUAGUGGAAAAUGAGCAAAGGUCUUCGCAUUUGACUCGACGAGUGCGAAGGGUAAGGAAGCUAGUCGAGCCUAGGAGGAUUCGCUUAGGUAGCUGGAACGUAGGGUCUCUGACAGAGAAGCUUCGGGAGCUAGUUGAUGCAGCAGUGAGGAAAGGUGUUGAUAUCCUUCGCGUCCAAGAAACCAAAUGGAGAGGACAGAAGGUGAAGGAGGUGGAGGAUACCGGCUUCAAGCUGUGGUACACGGGGACGGCUGCAAACAGAAAUGGCGUAGGCAUCUUGAUCAACAAGAGCCUCAAGUAUGGAGUGGUAGACGUCAGGAGACGUGGGGACCGGAUUAUCUUGGUCAAGCUGGUAGCUGAGGACUUGGUUCUCAAUGUUAUCAGCGCAUAUGCCCCGCAAGUAGGCCACAAUGAGAACACCAAGAGGGAGUUCUGGGAAGGCUUGGAAGACAUGGUUAGGAGUGUACCGAUUGGUGAGAAGCUCUUCAUAGGAGGAGACCUCAAUGGCCACGUGGGUACAUCUAACACAGGUUUUGAAGGGGCGCAUGGGGGC
Molecule: ribosomal RNA, 756 nt
Filed under: Triticum aestivum (bread wheat)
Lineage: Eukaryota; Viridiplantae; Streptophyta; Magnoliopsida; Poales; Poaceae
Description: partial small subunit ribosomal RNA
Source: RNAcentral